GUGGAAUGGCAGAAGGCGAAAUCAAUCACCUAUCCAAACAUCACUGUUUGUUAUUCCAAAUAUUUUGACAAUCGAAAAAUGGCCAGAAUGAACAUAUCCAAUGACAUGGCGAAUUACAUGACUUUAGCUUUGGACUUUGGAGUAACCGAAUACAUCCAAUUCAUGAAAAAAAACAACGACUUCAGCGGUUUAUUGUUUGAAUCUAAGAUGGCUCAUUUAGAAUCAGAAUUGAACGAGAUACUCAAUUCCUCCAAAAUGUCAAUUCUGGAUUUAUUUCGAGAAGUGGCCAUCAGUUGCGACGACUUCAUUUCCUACUGCGAGGUUCACCGCGAAUUCUACGUCGCCACCGUCGCCACCGACAAUGGAGUUGGCUCUCAAGGAACAAAUCUCACCUCUCUGACUUGUUGCCAAGCAUUCUUCACUCAACCUCCAUUUUUCAAUCAAGGUGGAACUUGUUUCACUUCCCAGCGACCCAUCGUGGAAACGUAUCCAUCAAUGUUCAGCUCGCUUCGAAUUUGGCUUUCGGCUUCAGAGAGAUUCGCACCUGAGUUCGAUAUGCUAUUCAAGGGCUCAGAUGCAGCCGAGCGUCGAGGCGUCUCUUGGGCUUUAAGCACGAUGGACCAUCCGUCCCAGAUCUUGAGCGUUGCUCCUCAACGAGCUUCAAGAGGUUCAUUACAAAUCAUCGGAUUGGAAAAAAUCGAGGAAAGGAUAAGUUUUCCACAAUCUGAUCUAACCAUUAACUAACCUGUUUUUGUCUUUGCUUCCAGACCGAUAGAAGUGAACUGAACCGGGAACCUUGUUUGAGCUAUAAUCAAACGUUUCAAGAUUACUUUGGGCAUCCUAUAACACGGUUGAACUGUGAGGCUGCUCGUCUUCAACACUUUUACGCGAAUUGCAGUAUGUUGCCACUCUUUGGCUUCAAAGAAGCGCCUGGAUUUCCCCCGUGCCUUCCGAAGAGUCUUUUGAACGGAACCACUGGGAUCGAUCCUAAUACCGCCGAGAUGGUUUGUUCCUCAGAUUGUGAACGUACAGAUUUUCGACUUACCAUCUCAGUGGGUCCCUUGGACACAAAUGCCAUCAAAACCUUCUUCGAGACACAAAUUUCUAACCUGCUAAAAAUGAAGGGUUCCAUAGAGGGAAAUUUCACGGUUCCGCCCAUCUUUCAAGGACUGCAAAAUUCUGAAGACACAGUGGUUCUUUUCUUCUAUUUUAAGACUUUUGAUUAUGCCAGGAACCUAUUGAAUCAGGAGACCUUCCUCGAAUUUCUGUCUAAAGUGGGUGGCUGGAUGAGUUUGGCUAUAGGGGCUUCAAUAUUUUCCCUCUUUGAAAUCAUCUAUUUCUUACUAUCUCUUAUAAAAAUCGGCUGUCGACACGGCCUCAGAUUUGGCAGAUGAUUCCCACGUUUCGCUAAAGGAUGUCUAAAAGGUCCACUUUCACCCCGUGUCCUACCACUUUCAUUGUUAGAGUUUCCCAUGGAAAGGCAAUUGCUUUAAUGGCAGCACCUAUUAAAAAACUUUUGGAACUUUUGGUUUGCAAUGGGGCUGCUACAUCCUUCAGUUUGCAACAAGCGCAAUCCCAACUCAAGUGCUUAUUUGGGAGGUCUGAUAUCAUUUUUUUUGUGUGGGACAGAGAAUAUAAUCUUUAACAGAACGGC
Molecule: long non-coding RNA, 1654 nt
Organism: Tigriopus californicus
Lineage: Eukaryota; Metazoa; Arthropoda; Copepoda; Harpacticoida; Harpacticidae
Exons: 8
Source: RefSeq, a predicted model, not a curated record